GCGGCACGCCUAACACAUGCAAGUCGAACGAAGUAGCAAUACUUAGUGGCAGACGGGUGAGUAACAUGUAGGUAUCUGCCCUUUGGCCUGGAAUAACACGAGGAAACUUGUGCUAAUACUGGAUAAGUCUUUACGGAGAAAGCUUUAUGCACCAUUGGAUGAGCCUGCACUUGAUUAGUUUGUUGGUGGGGUAAUGGCCUACCAAGACUGUGAUCUAUAGCUGAUUUGAGAGGAUGAUCAGCCACAUUGGGACUGAGACACGGCCCAAACUCCUACGGGAGGCAGCAGUGGGGAAUCUUGCACAAUGGAGGAAACUCUGAUGCAGCGAUGCCGCGUGAGUGAAGAAGGCCUUUGGGUUGUAAAGCUCUUUCGUCGGGGAAGAAAAUGACUGUACCCGAAUAAGAAGGUCCGGC
RNAcentral lists this ribosomal RNA (413 nucleotides) under uncultured bacterium. RNAcentral's name for it is "bacterial SSU rRNA". It matches the Rfam family "Bacterial small subunit ribosomal RNA", at positions 39 to 497 of the family's 1533-position model. The record is from RNAcentral.